Molecule: ribosomal RNA, 254 nt
Filed under: uncultured bacterium
Lineage: Bacteria
Description: partial 16S ribosomal RNA
Rfam family: Bacterial small subunit ribosomal RNA
Source: RNAcentral
UACGAAGGGGGCUAGCGUUGCUCGGAAUUACUGGGCGUAAAGGGAGCGUAGGCGGAUAGUUUAGUCAGAUGUGAAAGCCCAGGGCUCAACCUUGGAAGUGCAUCUGAAACUGAUGAGCUAGAGUUCACGGAGAGGGUGGUGGAAUUCCCAGUGUAGAGGUGAAAUUCGUAGAUAUUGGGAGGAACACCGGUGGCGAAGGCGACCACCUGGACGGAAACUGACGCUGAGGCGCGAAAGCGUGGGUAGCAAACAGG